ACACGUAGGGGGCGAGCGUUGUCCGGAAUUACUGGGCGUAAAGGGCGUGUAGGCGGCCGAUCAAGUCAGGUGUGAAAAAUCAGGGCUUAACCCUGAUCGUGCACUUGAAACUGGUUGGCUUGAGUGCAGGAGAGGAAAGUGGAAUUCCCAGUGUAGCGGUGAAAUGCGUAGAUAUUGGGAGGAACACCAGUGGCGAAGGCGACUUUCUGGACUGCAACUGACGCUGAGGCGCGAAAGCUAGGGGAGCAAACAGGAUUAGAUACCCUGGUAGUCCUAGCCGUAAACGAUGGGUACUAGGUGUAGGGGGUUUAGACGCCCUCUGUGCCGCAGUUAACACAUUAAGUACCCCGCCUGGGGAGUACGGCCGCAAGGCUGAA
RNAcentral lists this ribosomal RNA (377 nucleotides) under uncultured bacterium. RNAcentral describes it as "bacterial SSU rRNA". It matches the Rfam family "Bacterial small subunit ribosomal RNA", at positions 523 to 898 of the family's 1533-position model. The record is from RNAcentral.